Molecule: ribosomal RNA, 492 nt
Filed under: uncultured bacterium
Lineage: Bacteria
Description: partial 16S ribosomal RNA
Rfam family: Bacterial small subunit ribosomal RNA
Source: RNAcentral
AGUGAACGCUGGCGGUAGGCCUAACACAUGCAAGUCGAACGGCAGCACAGUAAGAGCUUGCUCUUACGGGUGGCGAGUGGCGGACGGGUGAGGAAUACAUCGGAAUCUACUUUUUCGUGGGGGAUAACGUAGGGAAACUUACGCUAAUACCGCAUACGACCUACGGGUGAAAGCAGGGGAUCUUCGGACCUUGCGCGAUUGAAUGAGCCGAUGUCGGAUUAGCUAGUUGGCGUGGUAAAGGCCCACCAAGGCGACGAUCCGUAGCUGGUCUGAGAGGAUGAUCAGCCACAAUGGAACUGAGACACGGUCCAGACUCCUACGGGAGGCAGCAGUGGGGAAUCAUGGACAAUGGGCGCAAGCCUGAUACAGCCAUACCGCGUGGGUGAAGAAGGCCUUCGGGUUGUAAAGCCCUUUUGUUGGGAAAGAAAAGCAGCAGGUUAAUAACCCGCUGUUCUGACGGUACCCAAAGAAUAAGCACCGGCUAACUUCGUG